This 460-nucleotide ribosomal RNA is filed under the name uncultured bacterium. RNAcentral's name for it is "partial 16S ribosomal RNA". It matches the Rfam family "Bacterial small subunit ribosomal RNA", at positions 338 to 795 of the family's 1533-position model. The record is from RNAcentral.
CCUACGGGCGGCAGCAGUGAGGAAUAUUGGUCAAUGGACGAGAGUCUGAACCAGCCAAGUAGCGUGAAGGAUGACUGCCCUAUGGGUUGUAAACUUCUUUUAUAUGGGAAUAAAAUGUUCCACGUGUGGGAUUUUGUAUGUACCAUAUGAAUAAGGAUCGGCUAACUCCGUGCCAGCAGCCGCGGUAAUACGGAGGAUCCGAGCGUUAUCCGGAUUUAUUGGGUUUAAAGGGAGCGUAGGUGGAUUGUUAAGUCAGUUGUGAAAGUUUGCGGCUCAACCGGAAAAUUGCAGUUGAAACUGGCAGUCUUGAGUACAGUAGAGGUGUGCGGAAUUCGUGGUGUAGCGGUGAAAUGCUUAGAUAUCACGAAGAACUCCGAUUGCGAAGGCAGUUCACUGGACUGCAACUGACACUGAGGCUCGAAAGUGUGGGUAUCAAACAGGAUUAGAUACCCCUGUAGUC